Molecule: ribosomal RNA, 2238 nt
Filed under: human gut metagenome
Description: bacterial LSU rRNA
Rfam family: Bacterial large subunit ribosomal RNA
Source: RNAcentral
GAGCCGAUGAAGGACGCGGUAAGCUGCGAAAAGGCAUGGGUAGGAGCAAGCAUCCUGUGAUCCAUGCAUAUCCGAAUGGGGCAACCCACCAUCAGUCAUGUGAUGGUACGAAAGAGGCAGACCUGGGGAACUGAAACAUCUAAGUACCCAGAGGAAAAGUAAUCAAUUGAGAUUCCCUAAGUAGCGGCGAGCGAAAGGGGAAGAGCCCAAACCAGAUAACUUCGGUUGUCUGGGGUUGAGGACCGGCAUAAAGAGGAAACUUCUUAGUCGAAUGGUUUGGAAAGGCCAUGCACAGAAGGUAAAACACCUGUAGGCGAAAAGAAGUCAAUCGGGCUGGUAUCCAGAGUACUGCGAGACACGUGAAACCUUGCAGGAAGCAGGGGGGACCACCCUCCAAGGCAAAAUACUACUUGGCGACCGAUAGCGCAUAGUACCGUGAGGGAAAGGUGAAAAGAACCCCGGGAGGGGAGUGAAAUAGAACCUGAAACCGUAUGUCUACAAGCAGUCGAAGCACCUUAAGAGUGCGACGGCGUGCCUAUUGAAGAAUGAACCGGCGAGUUACAUUAUGUUGCGAGGUUAAGUGGGAGACACGGAGCCGAAGCGAAAGCGAGUCUUAAUAGGGCGACUAGUAACAUGGUGUAGACCCGAAACCGCAGUGAUCUAUCCAUGGUCAGGUUGAAGCGCAGGUAAAAAUGCGUGGAGGACCGAACCCGUGAGUGUUGAAAAACUUUGGGAUGAACCGUGGAUAGGGGUGAAAUGCCAAUCGAACGCGGAGAUAGCUGGUACUCCCCGAAAUAGCUUUAGGGCUAGCCUCAGGGAAGAUUAUAGACGGUAGAGCACUGAUCUGGCAAGGGGGCGUAAAGCCUACCGACCCUAGUCAAACUUCGAAUGGCUAUAAUUAAGACCCUGGGAGUCAGACUGCGAGUGAUAAGACCCGUAGUCAAGAGGGAAACAGCCCAGACCGCCGACUAAGGUCCCCAAUGCUGUACUAAGUGGAAAAGGAUGUAAGACUUCAUAAACAACCAGGAUGUUGGCUUAGAAGCAGCCACCAUUAAAAGAGUGCGUAAUAGCUCACUGGUCGAGAGGCCUUGCGCCGAAGAUGUCCGGGGCUCAAGUACAGAACCGAAGUCGCGGCAGGAUUUAUAAUUCUGGGUAGGGGAGCGUUGUAUAUCCGACUGAAGGUGUACCGGAAGGAGCGCUGGAGGAUAUACAAGAGAGAAUGCCGGUAUGAGUAGCGAAAAGAACAGUGAGAAUCUGUUCCACCGAAAGCCUAAGGUUUCCUGAGCAACGCUCGUCGACUCAGGGUAAGUCGGGACCUAAGCCGAGGCAAAAAGCAUAGGCGAUGGACAACAGGUUAAUAUUCCUGUACCGCUUCAAAUCGUUUGAGCAAUGGAGUGACACAGAAGGUAGCUUGAGCACGCGAAUGGAUGUGCGUGUCGAAGGUGGUAGGUUGCAGUAUAGGCAAAUCCGUACUGUAUAAGACCGAGAACUGAUAGAUAGACAAUACUUCGGUAAAGUCAAAUUCAAGUGAGCCAUGCUGUCGAGAAAAGCUUCUAGUGAGAGAUGAGGCGCCCGUACCGAAACCGACACAGGUAGGCGGGGAGAGAAUCCUAAGGUGCGCGGGACAACCCUCGUUAAGGAACUCGGCAAAUUGUAUCCGUAACUUAGGGAUAAGGAUAGCCGGAGGAUGUGAAGGGAUUUACUUCUGGAGCGUCAGCCGGUGGCACAAGAGAGGCCCAAGCGACUGUUUAGCACAAACACAGGUGCCUGCAAAAGAGAAAUCUGACGUAUAGGUGCUGACACCUGCCCGGUGCUGGAAGGUUAAGAGGAGGGCUUAGAGGCAACUCGAAGGCUUGAAUUGAAGCCCCAGUAAACGGCGGCCGUAACUAUAACGGGCCUAAGGUAGCGAAAUUCCUUGUCGGGUAAGUUCCGACCCGCACGAAAGGUGUAACGACUUGGGCACUGUCUCAACGAGGGACCCGGUGAAAUUGAAGUACCUGUGAAGAUGCAGGUUACCCGCGACUGGACAGAAAGACCCCAUGGAGCUUUACUGCAACCUGACAUUGAUGUUCGGUAAAUAACGUACAGGAUAGGUGGGAGACGGAGAAGUAUUGGCGUUAGCUGAUAUGGAGUCAACCUUGGGAUACCACCCUUUAUUUAUUGGACCUCUAACUGAAGAAGUAACGACUCUCAGGACAGUAUCAGGCGGGCAGUUUGACUGGGGCGGUCGCCUCCCAA